This 902-nucleotide ribosomal RNA is filed under the name uncultured archaeon. Its description in RNAcentral is "bacterial SSU rRNA". It matches the Rfam family "Archaeal small subunit ribosomal RNA", at positions 1 to 879 of the family's 1478-position model. The record is from RNAcentral.
UUCCGGUUGAUCCUGCCGGACCCCACUGCUAUCGAUGUGGGACUAAGCCAUGCUAGUCGGACGACCCCGGACUAUGGCGGGGGAGUGGCAGACUGCUCAGUAACACGUAGCUAACCUAACCUUGGGACCGGGACAACCCCGGGAAACUGGGGCUAAUCCCCGAUAUGUGUGGAGGCCUGGAAUGGUUCCACGCUCAAAGGUCUAUAUGACCACGUUGCAUGUAGACGCCUAAGGAUGGGGCCGCGCCCGAUCAGGUUGUUGGUGAGGUAACGGCUCACCAAGCCUAUAACCGGUACGGGCCGUGAGAGCGGGAGCCCGGAGAUGGGCACUGAGACAAGGGCCCAGGCCCUACGGGGCGCAGCAGUCGCGAAAACUCCGCAAUGCGCGAAAGCGUGACGGGGCUACCCCGAGUGCCGUCCGCUGAGGAUGGCUUUUCCCCGGUGUAAUGAGCCGGGGGAAUAAGGAGAGGGCAAGUCUGGUGUCAGCCGCCGCGGUAAUACCAGCUCUCCGAGUGGUAGGGACGAUUAUUGGGCUUAAAGCGUUCGUAGCCGGCCCGGCAAGUCUCUCGUCAAAUCCAGCGACCCAAUCGCUGGGCCGCGGGAGAUACUGUCAGGCUUGGGAGCGGGAGAGGCCGACGGUAUUCUCGGGGUAGGGGUGAAAUCCUAUAAUCCCGGGAGGACCACCAGUGGCGAAGGCUGUCGGCUAGAACGCGUCCGACGGUGAGGGACGAAAGCUGGGGGAGCGAACCGGAUUAGAUACCCGGGUAGUCCCAGCUGUAAACGAUGCGGGCUAGGUGUCGGCGUGGCUACGAGCCACUCCGGUGCCGCAGGGAAGCUCAUAAGCCCGCCGCCUGGGAAGUACGGUCGCAAGGCUGAAACUUAAAGGAAUUGGCGGGGGAGCAC